UUUGGGCUUAGACCUCAGUGAGUGAGUCUCUCUAAUCUCUACCCCAAGAGGUACUAAUUCCUUUAGAAUAAAUCAAAACGGGAAGAAAGGCUUCCGUGAGUGGAUAUUACCUGCUUGAAAAUCCCUCAGAUUUCUUCUGGUUUGGGAAAUAUUGUUUUCUCUUCUUCCAGCACUGCCUGUAUUAAAAAACCUCUUUUUGGUAACCAAGGGCUUUCAGGGUAAACUGCAACCUCAGGUAGAUUUCCUAAUCCAAGAAGCAGAUCAGUAUGGUUCAGUUUAUUGAAACUUGAUAGAUCUGAGAGUGGUCCACUUAGGUCCAGACAUGGAAGAGUUAAAACAGUGACGUCCCACAUGGCUGCAACCUGGGCAGGCUUGAUGUCAACAUACAAGCAGCAGCACAAAAUCGAUGUUUUCUUUUCCAAAGGGUUUUUUCCAAUUUGUACUCAGCCCAGAAGUUUUUCCCAACGCAAAUCUAAAGCCAAGAAAAUUCCUCCCAGAGACACAGUGCUGCUCAGACAGAUGGGGCAGUCAGGGUAAGAGAGCCUCUCAGAGCAUGAAGCCAUCCCAGGGUUCCGAGGAAGCCAACCUCGCAGGCCUGCAUCUCAGCAUCUAUAUCCACACGGAUGUGUGCAGUAGCCUGGAGCAACCAGGAGAGCUAGAGCUCCUGAGCACGGGGCCUGCAAAGUACGGACUUGGAGCAAUUAAACCAGAGAGAAAGAGCCCCUUGUCCUGUUAGAUUUGAAGCCCAAGCAAAAGGGUAAGCCAUCCAGGACAGACUGGAGGGCGACCAGGGAGUGUCCCGUGGGCACAGCAGAUUGAUUGACAGAGAAAGAAAGAAGACACUGUCAACAAUGAGAAGGGGCUGAAACAUUUCCCACAGCCCCGUCUGGCUAAGGUUUCACCAGCCAUUGGUGUGAUGGGCUUGGAAGUAAAUACGGGAGUCACUUUCUAUUUAUUUGUCCUUGGUGCAGUCACGCUGGAGUUACUGAUUCGAGAGAUUAUUCCAUAGCAUGGGACUGGCCACAGCAUGUCAUUUAAUCAGGGCCAUUCUGCAUGUAGAUUUGACGACUUUGAAAGCUCAUUCCUCUCCCAGGCGGGCACGUCUCUGGGCCUCUGCUGAGUGGAGGCGAAAUUGGAUCAUCGUAGAUGACAGGAGAAUGCAGGUUCUGGACCUGGAAUCAGAGCAAACUCUGUUGGCACACGCUGCUGCGGAGAAGGAAGUAGCAGAGCCAGACGGAGGGACCUCCCGAAGCUCACACAGCCUCUAGCCUUGAGUGAACACUUUUUUCUCUUCCGCUGGCCUUCGCCUCCUUGCUUUUCAGCUGACCAGCAGCCCUGCCUGGGAGGACGAAUGGAAAGGAACCUUCCAGAGUGAGCAUGCCCUUUGCCUUUGGGGAAAAAAAAAAACCAAACGGGUUUGCAGAGGAUCCUCCAAAAAGCAGCCUCCAAAACAAGAGGGGGGGGCUUCAGCAAAGGCCUGCCGGCUGAACUUCCUUCCACAGAAAGUGGAAACGGGGUUCCCCAGAUGCUGGGGGGCCAACUCGCCGGCUUCUCCCUGUCCCAUCGCCGAUAGCAAAAGUUAAUGCCUUUGUGUGUUAAGGUCUUAUGACAAAAGUUAAAACGAACUGGGACACAUAAAAACGUACUGCUUGCAGCUUUAUUCGUGAAGAAUUAAUAGCUCAAGAAUUAAAAUGCUAUAUCUGGUACACAGACUAGAUAUUCUAGCACCUCCUCUAGAAAUUGAAGUCCUACCCUGAGUCAUAAAACUCAGGCAGGAAAAGGAAGGCUUAUGUGUUCUAAGGGGACAAACAGGAUCCAGGAGCAUCGUCAGGACCCAAGAGAACCAUCCUAGAUGGGACGGGGCGAGGGUGGGGGGCUUUGCUGCCAGGCGGGUCCCUCCCCUCAGAAGGAAGACAGAAGCCAUCCGGCCACAGUCUUGCCAGGAGGGAAGGCCACAGCUUUCCUCUGAGCUGCGUCUCUGGCCCCGCUCAGGGUUUAAUAGAGCCUAGGCUGCUGCCUUGAAACCUGCCCAGGACACCGCUUUGUUUUAUGUUGUUUUGCAAUGAUCUUGAAUGCUCUUCAGGGUAUGAAGUCCUCUUGGGGUGCUGGAAAGGCUGGCAGUGCGGGGUGGGGUGUGGGUUCCACAGAAUCAGCCUCCAGAAAUCAGGCACUUGUCACUAGACACGCUGGCCUGGGCCCUGCAGAUCACUCGGCGUUGGAGGAGACCCUCUGGUUGACCAGACGUCCUCCGUGGCUGACACGUGCUAUAAUGUCAGAGACGGAUGGUCCUGCGGCAGCCUUUGCCUCUGGACCUCAGAGAGGGGCCUAGGCCCCUACUGCACUCAUGUCACCAGACAAAUGGAUGUGGGGCAGGGAAGGGGGGGGUGUUUAUGGUGCACUUUAUGGACUAGACACUGUAUGGAGUGGUUUACAGACUCUUUACAAGAACACCCGGAAGUAGGGCUUUUGUGCCCAUUUCAGAGAUAAGGAAACUGAGUCUCCCUCUGGUGAAGUAGCUCUGCCCAGGGACUUGGGGCAUGAUCUGCCAGCCCUUGAGCCCCUCACCCUUUACACUGUGCCACAGUGGCUCCUGUAUUGAAGACUCCUGCAGGGGCCCCCUGACAAUCUGCCAUCACAUGUGGUGGAUGGUUCACUACUCUCAAGUUUGCAAACUUAACGGCCAGCCCGGUAGUGGGUCGAAUUGGCUCCCCUCAAAAGAGAUGUUCAGGCAUUGAGCCACUCAUUAUUAUAGAAACACAAAUCAAAACCACUAGGAGGUAUCACCUUACACCCGCCAGAAUGGCCAUCAUCAAAAAGUCUACAAACAAUAAGUAUUGGAGAGGGUGUGGAGAAAA
Sus scrofa (pig) is the source of this 2855-nucleotide long non-coding RNA. RefSeq lists it as uncharacterized. The record is from RefSeq and is a predicted model, not a curated record. Lineage: Eukaryota; Metazoa; Chordata; Mammalia; Artiodactyla; Suidae.